RNAcentral lists this ribosomal RNA (1123 nucleotides) under uncultured bacterium. RNAcentral describes it as "bacterial SSU rRNA". It matches the Rfam family "Bacterial small subunit ribosomal RNA", at positions 47 to 1162 of the family's 1533-position model. The record is from RNAcentral.
AUUGAUUUUAUGCUUGCAUAAAUGAUUUUUGGAUUCGGAGCGAGUGGCGAACUGGUGAGUAACACGUGGGUAACCUGCCCCGAAGCGGGGGAUAACAUUUGGAAACAAGUGCUAAUACCGCAUAAUUAGUUGGAACCGCAUGGUUCCAACUUGAAAGAUGGCUCUGCUAUCACUUUGGGAUGGACCCGCGCCGUAUUAGUUAGUUGGUGAGAUAAAAGCCCACCAAGACGAUGAUACGUAGCCGACCUGAGAGGGUAAUCGGCCACAUUGGGACUGAGACACGGCCCAGACUCCUACGGGAGGCAGCAGUAGGGAAUCUUCCACAAUGGACGAAAGUCUGAUGGAGCAACGCCGCGUGAGUGAUGAAGGUUUUCGGAUCGUAAAACUCUGUUGUUAAAGAAGAACAAGUGUUAGAGUAACUGUUAACACUUUGACGGUAUUUAACCAGAAAGCCACGGCUAACUACGUGCCAGCAGCCGCGGUAAUACGUAGGUGGCAAGCGUUGUCCGGAUUUAUUGGGCGUAAAGCGAGCGCAGGCGGUUUUGUAAGUCUGCUGUGAAAGCCCUCAGCUCAACUGGGGAAGUGCAGUGGAAACUACAAAACUUGAGUACAGAAGAGGAAAGUGGAACUCCAUGUGUAGCGGUGAAAUGCGUAGAUAUAUGGAAGAACACCAGUGGCGAAGGCGGCUUUCUGGUCUGUUACUGACGCUGAGGCUCGAAAGCAUGGGUAGCGAACAGGAUUAGAUACCCUGGUAGUCCAUGCCGUAAACGAUGAAUACUAGGUGUUGGAGGGUUUCCGCCCUUCAGUGCCGCAGCUAACGCAUUAAGUAUUCCGCCUGGGGAGUACGACCGCAAGGUUGAAACUCAAAGGAAUUGACGGGGGCCCGCACAAGUGGUGGAGCAUGUGGUUUAAUUCGAUGCUACGCGAAGAACCUUACCAGCUCUUGACAUCUUCUGUCAACCCAAGAGAUUGGGCGUUCCCUUCGGGGACAGAAUGACAGGUGGUGCAUGGUUGUCGUCAGCUCGUGUCGUGAGAUGUUGGGUUAAGUCCCGCAACGAGCGCAACCCUUAUUAUUAGUUGCCAGCAUUUAGUUGGGCACUCUAGUGAGACUGCCGGUGAUAAA